GCCCGCCACACUGAAUACUCCAGGUUAGACUACUUUUUACUCAGCCCGCCACACUGAAUACUCCAGGUUAGACUACUUUUUACUCAGCCCGCCACACUGAAUACUCCAGGUUAGACUACUUUUUACUCAGCCCGCCACACUGGAUACUCCAGGUUAGACUACUUUUUACUCAGCCCGCCACACUGAAUACUCCAGGUUAGACUACUUUUUACUCAGCCCGCCACACUGGAUACUCCAGGUUAGACUACUUUUUACUCAGCCCGCCACACUGGAUACUCCAGGUUAGACUACUUUUUACUCAGCCCGCCACACUGGAUACUCCAGGUUAGACUACUUUUUACUCAGC
Oncorhynchus tshawytscha (Chinook salmon) is the source of this 346-nucleotide long non-coding RNA. NCBI's taxonomy places the organism in Eukaryota, Metazoa, Chordata, Actinopteri, Salmoniformes, Salmonidae. The record is from Ensembl.